RNAcentral lists this ribosomal RNA (119 nucleotides) under Enterococcus faecium. Its description in RNAcentral is "partial 16S ribosomal RNA". It matches the Rfam family "Bacterial small subunit ribosomal RNA", at positions 1415 to 1533 of the family's 1533-position model. The record is from RNAcentral. Lineage: Bacteria; Bacillati; Bacillota; Bacilli; Lactobacillales; Enterococcaceae.
CAAUACCCGAAGUCCGUGAGCUAACCGCAAGGAGGCAGCGGCCGAAGGUAGGGUCAGCGAUUGGGGUGAAGUCGUAACAAGGUAGCCGUAGGAGAACCUGCGGCUGGAUCACCUCCUUU